This 253-nucleotide ribosomal RNA is filed under the name uncultured bacterium. RNAcentral describes it as "partial 16S ribosomal RNA". It matches the Rfam family "Bacterial small subunit ribosomal RNA", at positions 524 to 776 of the family's 1533-position model. The record is from RNAcentral.
UACAGAGACCUCAAGCAUUAUCCGGAUUUAUUGGGCGUAAAGGGUCCGCAGGUGGUCGUGUGCGUCUCGCGUCAAAUCUCAGGGCUCAACUCUGAAACCGCGCGAGAUACGACAUGACUAGAGGCCGGGAGAGGUAAGCGGAAUUGCCGGUGUAGUAGUAAUAUGCGUUAAUAUCGGCAAGAACACCAAAUGCGAAGGCAGCUUACUGGAACGCGCCUGACACUCAGGGACGAAAGCGUGGGGAGCAAAAGGG